Molecule: ribosomal RNA, 473 nt
Filed under: uncultured bacterium
Lineage: Bacteria
Description: bacterial SSU rRNA
Rfam family: Bacterial small subunit ribosomal RNA
Source: RNAcentral
CUCUGUGACUCCUACGGGAGGCAGCAGUGGGGAAUAUUGCACAAUGGGCGCAAGCCUGAUGCAGCCAUGCCGCGUGUGUGAAGAAGGCCUUCGGGUUGUAAAGCACUUUCAGUCGUGAGGAAGGUAGUGUAGUUAAUAGCUGCAUUAUUUGACGUUUAGCGACAGAAGAAGCACCGGCUAACUCCGUGCCAGCAGCCGCGGUAAUACGGAGGGUGCGAGCGUUAAUCGGAAUUACUGGGCGUAAAGCGCAUGCAGGUGGUUUGUUAAGUCAGAUGUGAAAGCCCGGGGCUCAACCUCGGAAUUGCAUUUGAAACUGGCAGACUAGAGUACUGUAGAGGGGGUAGAAUUUCAGGUGUAGCGGUGAAAUGCGUAGAGAUCUGAAGGAAUACCGGUGGCGAAGGCGGCCCCCUGGACAGAUACUGACACUCAGAUGCGAAAGCGUGGGGAGCAAACAGGAUUAGAUACCCUGGUAG